This 254-nucleotide ribosomal RNA is filed under the name uncultured bacterium. RNAcentral's name for it is "partial 16S ribosomal RNA". It matches the Rfam family "Bacterial small subunit ribosomal RNA", at positions 79 to 334 of the family's 1533-position model. The record is from RNAcentral.
CUUUCUUUGCUGGCGACCGGCGCACAGGUGAGUAACACGUAUCCAACCUGCCCUUUACUCGGGGAUAGCCUUUCGAAAGAAAGAUUAAUACCCGAUAGCAUAAUGAUUCCGCAUGGUUUCAUUAUUAAAGGAUUCCGGUAAAGGAUGGGGAUGCGUUCCAUUAGGUUGUUGGUGAGGUAACGGCCCACCAAGCCUUCGAUGGAUAGGGGUUCUGAGAGGAAGGUCCCCCACAUUGGAACUGAGACACGGUCCAA